This 253-nucleotide ribosomal RNA is filed under the name uncultured bacterium. Its description in RNAcentral is "partial 16S ribosomal RNA". It matches the Rfam family "Bacterial small subunit ribosomal RNA", at positions 524 to 776 of the family's 1533-position model. The record is from RNAcentral.
UACGUAGGGACCAAGCGUUGUUCGGAUUUACUGGGCGUAAAGGGCGCGUAGGCGGCAUGACAAGUCACUUGUGAAAUCUCCGGGCUUAACUCGGAACGGCCAAGUGAAACUGUCAAGCUAGAGUGCAGAAGGGGCAAUCGGAAUUCUUGGUGUAGCGGUGAAAUGCGUAGAUAUCAAGAGGAACACCUGAGGUGAAGACGGGUUGCUGGGCUGACACUGACGCUGAGGCGCGAAAGCUAGGGGAGCGAACAGG